AUCCAUCAUUAUAACAGCAUCACUUAUCUCUCCAAACUGGCUAAAAUGCUUCCUAAAAGAUUCUGGAAGGUAAAACACCAUAUACAGUACGAGGUUAGAGGAAAGACAGCAUGAAAGUAGGGAAGCAAACAAAGCAGAUGUACUUAUCAAAAGGGGAAAAAAAAAAAAGUAGACACAAAACACCAUAUACAGUAUGAGGUUAGAGGAAAGACAGCCAGACCUCAUUAAAGUAGGGAAGCAAAGAAAGCAGAUGUACUUAUCAAAAGGAAAAAAACAAAGUAGAUAUCAUAACAUUGGUUACUCGGCAAACUAUUUUGAAGUCAAACCACUGUAAGAAAUUGUCAGUUUCUAAAACAGGGGAAAAGAAUUUGAAGAAACCAAAAAAUUUAUUGAAAAGCAAACAGAGACCAGAAAUUUACUGUGGAAGGAGAACAUUAACUCAAGUGCUCAACUAACUAAAUACAUGAAUAAUUAAAAUGUCUCAAUAUCAUGUUAUGAAUGCAUAUUGAUAAAGGCUGUGUUCUUUUACUGUUUUCUCAAGAUGUUCCAAAGAAAGCCCAAACCCAAAUCCCACCCCCAAAAAGUUAACAGAGCAAGGACCAAAGUCAACGGUGUGAGUGCCAGAAAAUACACGAUAAAUUUAAUAAUGCAAGUACUAUAAAGCGAUCAAGCAAGAGUACAUCACACUGCACCUAAGUAAUAAAUUAGUAAUACACACAACUCAGGAGAAGCAACCAGCUCCGAGUUAAGUUGCAAUACUCUUCUAGCUGAUGCCUCACAUUAGAAACUAAUUCAUCCUAAGUGAAGUAAUCAUGCAUUCUAAGACCACUCUCCUUUAGAAACCUUUUGCUUUUCUUAUAAUCCAGAUAUCACUGAAACUCAUGUUCCGUCAUACUAUAAGAGUUAGCAACAUCAAUUCAGCAAGAAAUUCUUGUCUGAAAAUAAGCAUGAUACUGUAAAAUUCUAAUGAGACAACAGCUGAUACUGGAAACAAAUCUUUGUGCACUAUUGUAUCAACAAAAAAAGAAAAGACAACUUAAAGAAGAUGCUUAAAAGUCCUUUUGCUUGCACACAAG
This 1076-nucleotide long non-coding RNA is filed under the name Nicotiana benthamiana. RNAcentral describes it as "long non-coding RNA (NBEN_LNC032277)". The record is from RNAcentral. Lineage: Eukaryota; Viridiplantae; Streptophyta; Magnoliopsida; Solanales; Solanaceae.